CCUACGGGAGGCAGCAGUGGGGGAUAUUGCACAAUGGGGGGAACCCUGAUGCAGCGACGCCGCGUGGGUGAAGAAGCGCCUCGGCGCGUAAAGCCCUGUCAGCAGGGAAGAAAAUGACGGUACCUGAAGAAGAAGCCCCGGCUAACUACGUGCCAGCAGCCGCGGUAAGACGGAGGGGGCAAGCGUUAUCCGGAUUUACUGGGGGUAAAGGGGGCGCAGACGGCGAUGCAAGCCAGGAGUGAAAGGCCGGGGACCAACCCCGGGAUUGCACGUGGAACUGGGUGGCUGGAGUGAAGGAGGGGCAGGGGGAAUUCCUGGGGUAGCGGUGAAAUGCGUAGAUAUCACGAAGAACCCCGAGUGCGAAGGCAGCCUGCUGGACUGUAACUGACGGUGAGGCCCGAAAGUGUGGGGAGCAAACAGGAUUAGAUACCCUGGUAGUC
RNAcentral lists this ribosomal RNA (440 nucleotides) under uncultured bacterium. RNAcentral's name for it is "partial 16S ribosomal RNA". It matches the Rfam family "Bacterial small subunit ribosomal RNA", at positions 338 to 795 of the family's 1533-position model. The record is from RNAcentral.